AGUGAACGCUGGCGGCGUGCUUAACACAUGCAAGUCGAACGAGAACGGGUUAUAGCUUGCUAUAAUUGUCAGCUAAGUGGCGCACGGGUGAGUAAUGUAUAGGUAAUAUGCCUCUUACUAAGGGAUAACAAAUGGAAACGUUUGCUAAUACCUUAUACUCCGUAUUAACAUAAGUUAAUAAGGGACAGACUUAUUGGUAAGAGAUUAGCCUUUAUUGUAUCAGUUAGUUGGUGGGGUAAUGGCUUACCAAGACUAUGACACAUAACUGGUUUGAGAGGAUGAGCAGUCACGCUGGAACUGAGACACGGUCCAGACUCCUACGGGAGGCAGCAGUGGGGAAUAUUGCACAAUGGACGAAAGUCUGAUGCAGCAACGCCGCGUGGAGGAUGACACAUUUCGGUGCGUAAACUCCUUUUAUAUGAGAAGAUAAUGACGGUAUUAUAUGAAUAAGCACCGGCUAACUCCGUGCCAGCCGCCGCCGUAA
Molecule: ribosomal RNA, 484 nt
Filed under: uncultured bacterium
Lineage: Bacteria
Description: partial 16S ribosomal RNA
Rfam family: Bacterial small subunit ribosomal RNA
Source: RNAcentral